Molecule: ribosomal RNA, 484 nt
Filed under: uncultured bacterium
Lineage: Bacteria
Description: partial 16S ribosomal RNA
Rfam family: Bacterial small subunit ribosomal RNA
Source: RNAcentral
AUUGAACGCUAGCGGGAUGCUUUACACAUGCAAGUCGAACGGCAGCGCGGACUUCGGUCUGGCGGCGAGUGGCGAACGGGUGAGUAAUGUAUCGGAACGUGCCCAGUAGCGGGGGAUAACUACGCGAAAGCGUAUCUAAUACCGCAUACGCCCUACGGGGGAAAGCAGGGGAUCGUAAGACCUUGCACUAUUGGAGCGGCCGAUAUCGGAUUAGCUAGUUGGUGAGGUAACGGCUCACCAAGGCGACGAUCCGUAGCUGGUUUGAGAGGACGACCAGCCACACUGGGACUGAGACACGGCCCAGACUCCUACGGGAGGCAGCAGUGGGGAAUUUUGGACAAUGGGGGCAACCCUGAUCCAGCCAUCCCGCGUGUGCGAUGAAGGCCUUCGGGUUGUAAAGCACUUUUGGCAGGAAAGAAACGUCGCGGGCUAAUACCCCGUGGAACUGACGGUACCUGCAGAAUAAGCACCGGCUAACUACGUG